This 379-nucleotide ribosomal RNA is filed under the name uncultured cyanobacterium. Its description in RNAcentral is "bacterial SSU rRNA". It matches the Rfam family "Bacterial small subunit ribosomal RNA", at positions 376 to 770 of the family's 1533-position model. Lineage: Bacteria; Bacillati; Cyanobacteriota. The record is from RNAcentral.
GGCACCCCUGACGGAGCAACGCCGCGUGCGGGAAGACGGCCUGUGGGUUGUAAACCGCUUUUCUCAGGGAAGAAGAACUGACGGUACCUGAGGAAUCAGCAUCGGCUAACUCCGUGCCAGCAGCCGCGGUAAUACGGAGGAGGCAAGCGUUAUCCGGAAUUAUUGGGCGUAAAGCGUCCGUAGGUGGUUAUUCAAGUCUGCUGUCAAAGCGUGGGGCUUAACUCCAUAGAGGCAGUGGAAACUGGAUGACUUGAGUGCGGUAGGGGUCGAGGGAAUUCCCAGUGUAGCGGUGAAAUGCGUAGAUAUUGGGAAGAACACCAGUGGCGAAAGCGCUCGACUGGGCCUGCACUGACACUGAGGGACGAAAGCUAGGGGAGCG